GGCAUAUCGUGGAUGCCUCGACACACUGAUAGGGACGUACUAGACAACGAAACGCUAUGGCGAGCUGUCAUGAUGCUGUGACCCAUAGAUAUCCCUGGAGUAAACUCCAAAGUUAUAUAAUCUACCCAGUGAACUGAAACAUCUAAGUAACUGGAGGAAUAGACAUCAACCGAGAUUUUGCUAGUAGUGGUGAGCGAACGUGAAAUAGGCCCUAUAUUCUUGAUAACACUUUAAUACUUAAAUAGGUGGAAUCCUAUACCAUAGAAG
This 267-nucleotide ribosomal RNA is filed under the name Picochlorum sp. RCC944. Its description in RNAcentral is "partial Bacterial large subunit ribosomal RNA". It matches the Rfam family "Bacterial large subunit ribosomal RNA", at positions 16 to 363 of the family's 2925-position model. Lineage: Eukaryota; Viridiplantae; Chlorophyta; Trebouxiophyceae. The record is from RNAcentral.